This 501-nucleotide ribosomal RNA is filed under the name uncultured bacterium. RNAcentral describes it as "partial 16S ribosomal RNA". It matches the Rfam family "Bacterial small subunit ribosomal RNA", at positions 30 to 523 of the family's 1533-position model. The record is from RNAcentral.
AUUGAACGCUGGCGGCAUGCCUUACACAUGCAAGUCGAACGGCAGCACGGGUGCUUGCACCUGGUGGCGAGUGGCGAACGGGUGAGUAAUACAUCGGAACGUACCUUAUCGUGGGGGAUAACGCAGCGAAAGUUGCGCUAAUACCGCAUACGCCCUGAGGGGGAAAGCGGGGGACCGUAAGGCCUCGCGCGAUUAGAGCGGCCGAUGUCUGAUUAGCUUGUUGGUGAGGUAAAAGCUCACCAAGGGGAUGAUCAGUAGCUGGUCUGAGAGGACGAUCAGCCACACGGGGACUGAGACACGGCCCAGACUCCUACGGGAGGCAGCAGUGGGGGAUUUUGGACAAUGGGGGCAACCCUGAUCCAGCAAUGCCGCGUGAGUGAAGAAGGCCUUCGGGUUGUAAAGCUCUUUUGUCAGGGAAGAAACAGCAGCUCUAACACAGUCUGCGAAUGACGGUACCUGAAGAAUAAGCACCGGCUAACUACGUGCCAGCCGCCGCCGUAA